Long non-coding RNA from Daphnia pulex (common water flea), 3181 nucleotides. RefSeq lists it as uncharacterized. The record is from RefSeq and is a predicted model, not a curated record. The transcript has 12 exons. Lineage: Eukaryota; Metazoa; Arthropoda; Branchiopoda; Diplostraca; Daphniidae.
UAAGAGGUGGAUCAGGAUGAGAAAAAAAUCGUAUAAAAAGAGAGAGAACAGGCGGAAAGAAUUCAGUCGAGUGAGCAGCUCCGAUACGGCAACAACUGCAGAGCGCUAUCUGUCACCAGCUUUCUUCAUCGUAUUACCAGUCCGUAAUCAUGGACCCAUCCUCAUCAGCGACGUCAACCUGCAGAAAGAUAGGCCAGUUUGCUUCGAAGGUCACGGAAAUCAUUACGUAAAACGUGUCGUGUGGUGUAGAGGUUGGGUGAGAAAGGGAUCUUUUGCAUCUUUAUCAAGCAGGUACAAUACCCGCAAGGCUUAGAAGGUGAGGGUGAGAAAAAAAUUCGUAUAAAAGGAGAGAGAAAAGGAUACAGACAUCAGUUGGGUGAGCAUCACCGACACGGCAACAACUCCUGUGGACUGCCUGUACCAACUGGCUUCUUCAUCGCAUUAUUACCAGCUCGAAACAAUUGGUAAACAUUCCGUUUCUCUACAUAGUUUUGUAUUACUAAGUCUAUUAUUGACUAUGGGUUAAUAUGCCAUUCACUGUUUGUCUAUUUAACUAUGGCGUCGUGUUGCUGUUGGGUGUUGUAUCGUUGAUGGCUGGGUCGACCACUGGUGUACCGAUGUUUCCUUCGCCAACCCCAUCACCAAUUGGAUUGUUCAUCGAUAAACAAGUUCGCAGCAGUCAUGGUCAACUAUAAUGUCGUGCUGCUGUCGGAUGUUGUAUCGUUGAUGGCUGGGUCGACCACUAGUGUACCAAUUUCUUUUGGGUACGGAUACCAAACCGCAAUGCCGACGCCCUACUACACAACAGCAUACGUUUCAGCCGGUUAUUACACCAUCAAGGCUCCAGGGAAUUACACCACAACUUAUGAUGCCCCGACCUACUACACCGACGUCCUGAAUUGUAGAUAUCCUUCAGUUGCUGCAAGCAACCUAUUCGGAUCCCCAGCAACGUCAACCUGCAGAAGGAAAAGGCAGUUUGCAUGGCUUUCACAUUCAGAGUUAACUGGCUUCGUGAUGCUGUUGAAUGUUGUAUCGUUUCUGGCUGAGUCGACCACUGGUCCCUGGGUAUGGCGGAUACGAAGCCGCAACGCUGCUGUCUUACUACACAACAACAUACGUAACUACCUGUUACUACACCGGAACUUCCAAGUACUACACCGAAAAGGCUGAAUAUUACACAAGGACGUAUGCUACCCCAGUUUACUACACCGAGGAACCUAAGCAGCUCCUGUUUACUACACCACCAACGCAUCUGAAUGGUACAUGAUAAUCUACGCUGCCCCCAACUACUAACCUGGAGCUUCGAAGUGCAACACCACCGAUGCACAAACAAUUUUCAAGCAAGGAGUUAUUUGGCGACCUGAUGCUGUUGAAUCUUGUAUCUUGGAUGUAUAUGACCGUUGUAGUGAUGUUUCCUGGGUAUGGCGGAUAUCAAAUCGCAACGCUACCGUCUUAUUACUCAACAACUUACUCAGCGACCUGUUACUACACCGGGACUUCCACUUACUACACUGAAAAGGCUGAAUAUUACACAAGGACGUAUGCUACCCCAGGCCCAGUUUACUACACCGAGGAACCUAAGCAUUACUCUCCUCCGAGGUAUCACCAAACAGAGGCUCCUGUUAACUACACCACCAACGCAUCUGAACUACUACACUGGAGCUACGAAGUGCAACACCAUCAAUGUACAACCAAUUUGCAAGAAAGGAGUUAUUUGGUGACGUGUUGCUGUUGAAUCUUAUGACCGUUGUGAUGUUUCUUGGGUAUGGUGGAUAUUAUAUCGCAACGCUUCUGUCUUACUACGCCAAAACUUACUCAACGACCUGUUACUACACCGGGAUUUCCAAAUACUACACCGAAAAGGCUCCUGUUUACUAUGCGACCAUCGCUCCCGAGUGUUAUACGCUGUCCCCAACCGCUACACUGAAGCUCCGAAGUACUACACCCAUUGAAGGAAAACUAAUUCGCAUUCAAAGAUUAUUAUGGUGUUGUGCUGUUGUUGGAUGUUGUAUCGUUGAAGGCUGGGUCGACCACGAGUGUAACGAUGUCUCCUGGGUAUGGUGGUAUUUCAGUACUAGCAGCUAUAGAAUGGUAUACCACGUUGCUGCCUUACUACUUAACAACAACAUCAACAUACGUAACACCUACUUACUACACUGAUGCUCGUAAAUACCACAUCUCCAAGGCUCCAAGAAUAUACUGUACACGAUUAUCUACGCUGCUCCGAGCUACUGCACGGAAGUAUCACUCUACCCCAAGUUACAUCAACAAAACGUCUGAAUACUUACUAUACUGAUGCUUGAUGGUAUAUUGAUGGUACCGGAAAACUACACUACGCAUACUACCCCUGGCUACUACACCGGGGUCCUUAAUUACUACAACACCCGGCAACAAUUGAACUCUACCAAUUCUCAAUGAAAGUUAACUUUGGCUUCGGGCUGCUGUUGAGUGUUGAUGGCUGAGUCGACCACUGGUGUAUUGCUGUUCCCUGUGUAUGGUGCUUAGUCAACCGCAACGCGACUAUCUUGCUACACAACAAUAUACGCAAUGACCAGUUACUACUCCGGGAUUCUCUAUUACUACACCGAAAAGGCCGAAAAUUACGCAUCCACGGACUACACCGAGGAGUUCAAUUGCUACUGUACUCCGAGAAAGGGGAGAAGUUGCUGUUUACUACAACAUCAACGUCCCCGAAUGUUAAAUUUCAACCUACGCUGCCUACAACUUCACUGAAGCUUCGAAGUACUACACCAUCAAGUCACAUCAAAUCUGCAAUCUUUACUACUCCGAGGAAUUCAAGUACUACUGUGCUCCGAGAAACGACAGGUUGCUGUUUACUACACCAUCAACACCCCCGAAUGACAACCUUCGCUGCCCACAACUUCACUGAAGCUCCGUAGGACUACACCAUCAAGUAACCAAAUCAAAAGUAAAUAUGUUGUGUUAAUUUUGUUUCUUUGUUAUCUGUCUUUAUCUUUUUCUUUAGCUAUUCUAUUUGUCUUUAUCUUCUUCUUUAACUAUUCUGUCUUUAUUUUUUUCUGUAACUAUUUUUUUGUUUUUAAAACCUUCAAUAAUCCUACAACAAUAACCCCGGUAACAAUUUUGCCAUAAACUAUACAUCAUACUCCAUAACCCUACUUUUUAAAACCUAUUCACUUAUAAAAAAUUAAAAAAAUCAUUG